This is a non-coding RNA of Staphylococcus sp. HGB0015, 270 nucleotides long. It matches the Rfam family "Bacterial large signal recognition particle RNA". Rfam says of the family: The signal recognition particle (SRP) is a universally conserved ribonucleoprotein involved in the co-translational targeting of proteins to membranes. Archaeal SRP consists of a 7S RNA and homologues of the eukaryotic SRP19 and SRP54 proteins. NCBI's taxonomy places the organism in Bacteria, Bacillati, Bacillota, Bacilli, Caryophanales, Staphylococcaceae. The record is from Rfam.
CCGUGCUAAGCGGGGAGGUAGCGGUUCCCUAUUCUCGAAAUCCGCUUUAUGCGAGGUCGAAUUCCUUUGUCGCGGAUAUGUAUUUGUGAAGUCUGCCCAGAGCACGAGGUGUUUGAAGAUUUCGGUCCUAUGCAAUAUGAACCCAUGAACCAUGUCAGGUCCUGACGGAAGCAGCAUUAAGUGGAUUCUCAUAUGUGCCGUAGGGUAGCCGAGAUUUAGCUGUCGACUCUGGUAACGUUUGUGAUGCGUAUUCUACACAAAGGUGCACGG